Molecule: ribosomal RNA, 469 nt
Filed under: uncultured beta proteobacterium
Lineage: Bacteria; Pseudomonadati; Pseudomonadota; Betaproteobacteria
Description: bacterial SSU rRNA
Rfam family: Bacterial small subunit ribosomal RNA
Source: RNAcentral
GACGGGACCCGCACAAGCGGUGGAUUAUGUGGAUUAAUUCGAUGCAACGCGGAAAACCUUACCUACCCUUGACAUGUACGGAACCUCGCAGAGAUGUGAGGGUGCCCGAAAGGGAGCCGUAACACAGGUGCUGCAUGGCUGUCGUCAGCUCGUGUCGUGAGAUGUUGGGUUAAGUCCCGCAACGAGCGCAACCCUUGCCAUUAGUUGCUACAUUCAGUUGGGCACUCUAAUGGGACUGCCGGUGACAAACCGGAGGAAGGUGGGGAUGACGUCAAGUCCUCAUGGCCCUUAUGGGUAGGGCUUCACACGUAAUACAAUGGCAGGUACAGAGGGACGCCAACCCGCGAGGGGGAGCCAAUCCCAGAAAGCCUGUCGUAGUCCGGAUUGUAGUCUGCAACUCGACUACAUGAAGCUGGAAUCGCUAGUAAUCGCGGAUCAGCAUGUCGCGGUGAAUACGUUCCCGGGUCUU